Molecule: unclassified non-coding RNA, 321 nt
Filed under: uncultured fungus
Lineage: Eukaryota; Fungi
Description: partial contains 5.8S ribosomal RNA and internal transcribed spacer 2
Rfam family: 5.8S ribosomal RNA (bases 1-133)
Source: RNAcentral
UGGCUCUGGCAUCGAUGAAGAACGCAGCGAAAUGCGAUAAGUAGUGUGAAUUGCAGAAUUCAGUGAAUCAUCGAAUCUUUGAACGCACAUUGCGCCCCUUGGUAUUCCAUGGGGCAUGCCUGUUCGAGCGUCAUCUACACCCUCAAGCUCAGCUUGGUGUUGGGCGUCUGUCCCGCCUCGGCGCGCGGACUCGCCCCAAAGGCAUUGGCAGCGGUCCUUUGCACCUCUCGCGCAGCACAUUGCGCUUCUCGAGGUGACGCGGGUCGCGACCACAAAGUCAACACAGUCUUUGACCUCGGAUCAGGUAGGGAUACCCGCUGA